RNAcentral lists this ribosomal RNA (327 nucleotides) under uncultured eukaryote. Its description in RNAcentral is "partial 18S ribosomal RNA". It matches the Rfam family "Eukaryotic small subunit ribosomal RNA", at positions 1470 to 1796 of the family's 1831-position model. The record is from RNAcentral.
CCCUUAGAUGCUCUGGGCCGCACGCGCGCUACACUGACGAAUGCAACGAGCUUAUAACCUUGGCCGAAAGGUCUGGGUAAUCUCCAAAUUUCGUCGUGAUGGGGAUAGAUUAUUGCAAUUAUUAAUCUUCAACGAGGAAUGCCUAGUAAGCGCAAGUCAUCAGCUUGCGUUGAUUACGUCCCUGCCCUUUGUACACACCGCCCGUCGCUCCUACCGAUUGAAUGGUCCGGUGAAGCGUUCGGACCGUGGCCUUUGGACGGUUCGCCGUCUGUUGGCUGCGGGAAGUUCGUUAAACCUUAUCAUUUAGAGGAAGGAGAANUCGUAACA